Molecule: ribosomal RNA, 497 nt
Filed under: uncultured bacterium
Lineage: Bacteria
Description: partial 16S ribosomal RNA
Rfam family: Bacterial small subunit ribosomal RNA
Source: RNAcentral
GAUGAACGCUGGCGGCGUGCCUAAUACAUGCAAGUCGAGCGAACAGAUGAGGAGCUUGCUCCUCUGACGUUAGCGGCGGACGGGUGAGUAACACGUGGAUAACCUACCUAUAAGACUGGGAUAACUUCGGGAAACCGGAGCUAAUACCGGAUAAUAUAUUGAACCGCAUGGUUCAAUAGUGAAAGACGGUUUUGCUGUCACUUAUAGAUGGAUCCGCGCCGCAUUAGCUAGUUGGUAAGGUAACGGCUUACCAAGGCAACGAUGCGUAGCCGACCUGAGAGGGUGAUCGGGCACACUGGAACUGAGAAACGGUCCAGACUCAUAAGGGAGGCAGCAGUAGGGAAUCUUCCGCAAUGGGCGAAAGCCUGACGGAGCAACGCCGAGUGAGUGAUGAAGGUCUUCGGAUCGUAAAACUCUGUUAUUAGGGAAGAACAAAUGUGUAAGUAACUAUGCACGUCUUGACGGUACCUAAUCAGAAAGCAACGGCUAACUACGUG